GUCUAUGACUAUACUACCCUGAACAACAUGCCUGAUCUUGGAAGCUAAGCUGGGUUAGGCCUGGUUAGUACUGGAAUGGGAGACUGCUGCUUUUCAGAGUAUUUGGUUUUUCACAGGCA
RNAcentral lists this ribosomal RNA (119 nucleotides) under Carlito syrichta (Philippine tarsier). The record is from RNAcentral. Lineage: Eukaryota; Metazoa; Chordata; Mammalia; Primates; Tarsiidae.